This is an RNA transcript of Magnolia sinica, 2467 nucleotides long. RefSeq lists it as uncharacterized. The transcript is spliced from 5 exons. Lineage: Eukaryota; Viridiplantae; Streptophyta; Magnoliopsida; Magnoliales; Magnoliaceae. The record is from RefSeq and is a predicted model, not a curated record.
UCUCUCGACUCCCGACAAAAACAGCCCAUCCUCGACUCCCCAUCUCUCUCCCUGCCCAUCCUCGUUUGGCCUAGCGGUGGUCCAAGGCCCUCCCUAUCCACGCACCACCUUCAUUCCUCUCUCAAUCACGACCUCCCUUUCUCUCUCUCUCUGAAGCUCGAUUCAAUUAGAUUCACGAACGCGAGGAAUCCCUCUCUCUCUCUCUCUCUCUCUCUCUCUCUCUCUCUCUCUCUCUCUCAAUGUUGAUUUAUGAAUUUGGGGAUUUAGUAAUUUGUGGAUUUCCAAUUCGAAUGUGGACCCUCAUUUAGGGAUUUGGGGAUUUUAGGGCUUACAGAUUUGAAUGUAGACCUUGAAUUUGGUUUUUGUGAUUUUACAAAUUGGGGAUUUGGGGAUUUUAGGAUUUUGGGAAUCCGAGAAUUUUUAGAAUUAGGGAUUUCACCUUCCAGAUUUGAGAGAGCGAUUUUGGUCUCAAGUAUAGUUGGAAUGGGGCUGGAGGAGUGGCUGCUUUGUGGCAUUUGUUUGCUCCCUGUUUGUAAUUGUUGUUGAUUGCAUAGAUAUGGAGACAUACAGAUAUGGCUUAGGUUUCCUAUUCUUUCAACAUGCAUGCAGGGCUCUCUUUCAUCUUCCAUAGAUUCUAUUGCCUCUUUUACUUAUUCUUAUAUUUGUUAGACAGGAAGAAGUAUAGCAUUAGUAAAAGUAUAUUUUGUAAGGAUUUAUUUGAUUUGUUGGCAGAGUAUUAGUAUUAUCUCUAUGCGAAUACCCAGUGUAAACAUGGCAUUAGUGUUUCUCGAUCAGAACCAUCUAGGUAGUGGGGCCCAUUAUGUGUCUUUCACCACUAAGAAAUCAUUCUAAAUGAUUGAUCCCACUUCCUGUCCUUGUGGCCAUCAAAACUAAGAAAUCACUUCAUGUGUUUGAAGGCUUUAUCCUUGUAAUCUUCUUUAGAUUGACACCCGGCCACUGAAACUACAAUUUUCUUAUGUUAUAUAAAAUCCGAGGAGUCAUGGCUAUCCUUUACUCAAGAGGCUUAUAUCUUACAUAACAACAAGGUAAGAUCUCACAACUUCUCCAUUUUUUUUGCUAUACAAUGAUGCAAACGACCUUUGUGACAUCAGUGGACUCCAUUUUUAGCAUUGCUUUCAAGAGGUAAUUGCUUGUGAGAGAACCUCAUGUUAAAAUCCAAGUUACCUCAUUUAGUGUAUGGAAACAUGAAAUCUAAUUUUACUUUGGGUUUAAACUGAAAUUACAUGUGCAUAUAGAGCUGAUUCUUCAGGGUACUUAUAAUUUAUGUAUUGAUAAUGAAAAUUGAGUGGUUAUCAGAUUUUUGUUGGGAAAUAAUGCAGUGGAAAGGAACUGCAGUGUAUUUCCAAGAGCAGGGGUUUCAUACUAUGCUUGCCCUGUUCUUUCGUUGGAGACCCUGGUUUUUUCGCUGUGUCCUUACAUUACAUUGUAUAGAGCAUGUUCUACUGUAGGUUCCUGUCCUCCCUAGCUUAAGUGUUUAUUUCAGCUUUAUAGAUACAAUGACAGGUGGUGUGUGCUCCCACUUUCUUUGAAAAAGCAAAGAAAGGAAGGAAUUGUAAAUUUGAAGCUCUUAUGAAGCUCUGGUCCUUUCUUUACUUUUCCUUUCUUUUCUCUUUGGUCCAAACCUCUUUUGUAUUUGAGGUUGGUGGCACUGAAAUUCUAUGCAGCAAGACCUCACAUGUGUGUUCACUUGCUUUUGCAGUCUGAUGGGUUUCCUACGCUUCUUUUCUUCCCAGCAGGAAAUAAGAACUUUGAUCCGUUUGCCUACUUGUGAAGAUAAUCUAGUUCUGCACUCCAUCUAUGCCGCUGGAAAUUGCUGCUGCCGCUACUGUUUGAUCAGAUUUGGUGGCAGGGUUGACGAACAACUCUUGAUUAGCAGAAUCACACAAAGUGCGUCACUGUAUGAGGAAGCAUCCUGUACUUGGCCAACAUGUGCUUGAUGUUGCAAAGUAGCAUUCGGUAGCAGCUACAAAGAAGGGAUACGGAUAUUCCAACUGCAAACAGAACAAGCCAAGCUUCUCAUCCAGUCCAUUCAUAUACUAUACAUCCUGGCUAUAGGGGUGUUGCUAGAUGACCUUCUUGUGGCUGAAGAUCUAGCUACUGCUAAAACAACAAGUGCUGCUUCACACAUGCUGCAGCAGCAGCUGCUGCAACCAAUGUACAAGCAGGGAGAUUACCUACAAGAUACACAUUUGUUGAUGAAAGAACAAGACAAGAAAUUCCUGAAGCAGGUGUUGAGGGUGCUGUUGUGCUGGGUAGCCUGGUUGCCCCUCCUAUAAAUGGAAUAUGUACACCAGUAUAAGUGCUGAGAAUGCAAUGCUUCAAAGGUAAGCUAUUGGAGAUCUAUAUUUUGUUUAAUAGAUCAAAUUUUGUUUUGAUAUACUCUACGAUUGUAUUCCCUGAGGACCUGAUGCAAAUUAUUGAAUAGCACUUAAAAAUAUCUUUAUCA